GCCGGAGUGGCUCAGUGGUAGAGCAGCUGAUUCGUAAUCAGCAGGUCGCCGGUUCAAAUCCGGCCUUCGGCUCCA
Molecule: transfer RNA, 75 nt
Filed under: Deltaproteobacteria bacterium
Lineage: Bacteria; Pseudomonadati; Myxococcota; Myxococcia
Also listed under: 1 other name
Description: tRNA-Thr
Rfam family: tRNA
About the family: Transfer RNA (tRNA) molecules are approximately 80 nucleotides in length.
Source: RNAcentral